Molecule: microRNA precursor, 61 nt
Filed under: Lepisosteus oculatus (spotted gar)
Lineage: Eukaryota; Metazoa; Chordata; Actinopteri; Semionotiformes; Lepisosteidae
Description: Loc-Mir-17-P4d_pre stem-loop
Rfam family: mir-17 microRNA precursor family
About the family: This family represents the microRNA (miRNA) precursor mir-17, family, which includes mir-20, mir-91, and mir-103. miRNAs are transcribed as ~70nt precursors (modelled here) and subsequently processed by the Dicer enzyme to give a ~22nt product. In this case the mature sequence comes from the 3' arm of the precursor.
Source: RNAcentral
CAAAGUGCUGUUUGUGCAGGUAGCUAACCUGAGAGCCUACUGCAAAACCAGCACUUCCCGA